This 424-nucleotide ribosomal RNA is filed under the name uncultured eukaryote. Its description in RNAcentral is "bacterial SSU rRNA". It matches the Rfam family "Eukaryotic small subunit ribosomal RNA", at positions 592 to 1018 of the family's 1831-position model. The record is from RNAcentral.
CAAUAGCGUAUACUAAAGUUGUUGCAGUUAAAAGCUCGUAGUUGGAUUUCUGCGCGGGUGGGGCGUCCACUGGCCUUAGGCCAGUUUGGACAGCAACGCACGCGCAUCCUGCCGCGAACCACGCUACCAUUAGUUUGGUGGCGUCUGGGGAUCGGCUCGUUUACUUUGAGAAAAUAGAGUGUUCAAAGCAGGCAUCGUGCCUUGAAUAAUGUAGCAUGGAAUAAUGAUUAAGGACUUUGGUUCUAUUUUGUUGGUGUUCGGGACUGAAGUAAUGAUUGAUAGGGACAGUUGGGGGCGUCUGUAUUCUGAAGCGAGAGGUGAAAUUCUUAGACCUUCGGAGACAAACCGCUGCGAAAGCGUUCGCCAAGGAUGUUCCCUUUGAUCAAGAACGAAAGUUGGGGGAUCGAAGACGAUCAGAUACCAU